UACAGAGGUGGCAAGCGUUGUUCGGAAUUACUGGGCGUAAAGGGCGCGUAGGCGGUCUUGUCAGUCCCUUGUGAAAUCCCCCGGCUCAACUGGGGAACUGCAAGGGAAACAGCAGGGCUUGAGUUCGGGAGGGGGAAGCGGAAUUCCGGGUGUAGCGGUGAAAUGCGUAGAUAUCUGGAGGAAUACCGGUGGCGAAGGCGGCAUCCUGGACCGACAUUGACGCUGAACGGCGAAAGCUAGGGGAGCAAACGGG
Molecule: ribosomal RNA, 253 nt
Filed under: uncultured bacterium
Lineage: Bacteria
Description: partial 16S ribosomal RNA
Rfam family: Bacterial small subunit ribosomal RNA
Source: RNAcentral